Molecule: ribosomal RNA, 494 nt
Filed under: Cormocephalus gervaisianus
Lineage: Eukaryota; Metazoa; Arthropoda; Chilopoda; Scolopendromorpha; Scolopendridae
Description: partial 16S small subunit ribosomal RNA
Rfam family: Bacterial large subunit ribosomal RNA
Source: RNAcentral
GUCUUUACGAGUUUUUAUGUGAAGUCUAACCUGCUCUAUGUUUAUAUUAAUGGCCGCGGUAUUUUGACUGUGCGAAGGUAGCAUAAUAAAUAGGUUAUUAAUUGUGAUCUGGUAUGAAUGGUUUGAUGUAAUAAUAUCUGUCUUAUUUAUAUAUUUAAAUUUUAACUAUCAGUAAAAAUGCUGAUGUAAAUUGGAAAGACGAGAAGACCCUAUUAAGUUUUACAUUUAUUGUAGUUUUAUGGUAUAAUAUUAAUAUUUUAAUGUUUGAUUGGGGCGAUUAUAAAAUUAAAUAACAUUUAUAUAAUUUGUAUUAUUAUAAUAAUUUAAUGAUCCAUCAAUGAUGAUUAUUAGAAUAAAUUACUAUAGGGAUAACAGCGUAAUUUUAUUGGAGAGUUCUUAUUGAUGAUAAAGAUUGCGACCUCGAUGUUGGAUUAGGAUAUCUAUUGGACGCAGGUGUUUAGUUAGAUAGUCUGUUCGACUAUUAAAUUCCUACA